RNAcentral lists this transfer RNA (67 nucleotides) under Peloridium hammoniorum. RNAcentral's name for it is "tRNA-Asn". Lineage: Eukaryota; Metazoa; Arthropoda; Insecta; Hemiptera; Peloridiidae. The record is from RNAcentral.
UUAAUUGAAGCCAAAAAGAGGCUUUUUAUUGUUAAUAAAAAAAUUGAUUUAACUCCAUCCAAUUAAA